CCUACGGGAGGCAGCAGUAGGGAAUAUUGCUCAAUGGGGGAAACCCUGAAGCAGCAACGCCGCGUGGAGGAUGAAGGUUUUCGGAUUGUAAACUCCUUUUGUUAGAGAAGAUAAUGACGGUAUCUAACGAAUAAGCACCGGCUAACUCCGUGCCAGCAGCCGCGGUAAUACGGAGGGUGCAAGCGUUACUCGGAAUCACUGGGCGUAAAGAGCGCGUAGGCGGGAUAGCAAGUCAGAUGUGAAAUCCUAUGGCUUAACCAUAGAACUGCAUUUGAAACUUUUAUUCUAGAGUAUGGGAGAGGUAGGUGGAAUUCUGGGUGCAGGGGUAAAAUCCGUAGAGAUCAAGAGGAAUACUCAUUGCGAAGGCGACCUGCUGGAACAUAACUGACGCUGAUGCGCGAAAGCGUGGGGAGCAAACAGGAUUAGAUACCCUUGUAGUC
RNAcentral lists this ribosomal RNA (440 nucleotides) under uncultured bacterium. RNAcentral's name for it is "partial 16S ribosomal RNA". It matches the Rfam family "Bacterial small subunit ribosomal RNA", at positions 338 to 795 of the family's 1533-position model. The record is from RNAcentral.